AGUGAACGCUGGCGGUAGGCCUAACACAUGCAAGUCGAACGGCAGCACAGUAAGAGCUUGCUCUUACGGGUGGCGAGUGGCGGACGGGUGGGGAAUACAUCGGAAUCUACUUUUUCGUGGGGGAUAACGUAGGGAAACUUACGCUAAUACCGCAUACGACCUACGGGUGAAAGCAGGGGAUCUUCGGACCUUGCGCGAUUGAAUGAGCCGAUGUCGGAUUAGCUAGUUGGCGGGGUAAAGGCCCACCAAGGCGACAAUCCGUAGCUGGUCUGAGAGGAUGAUCAGCCACACUGGAACUGAGACACGGUCCAGACUCCUACGGGAGGCAGCAGUGGGGAAUAUUGGACAAUGGGCGCAAGCCUGAUCCAGCCAUACCGCGUGGGUGAAGAAGGCCUUCGGGUUGUAAAGCCCUUUUGUUGGGAAAGAAAAGCAGCAGGUUAAUACCCCGCUGUUCUGACGGUACCCAAAGAAUAAGCACCGGCUAACUUCGUG
This 492-nucleotide ribosomal RNA is filed under the name uncultured bacterium. RNAcentral describes it as "partial 16S ribosomal RNA". It matches the Rfam family "Bacterial small subunit ribosomal RNA", at positions 29 to 507 of the family's 1533-position model. The record is from RNAcentral.